UAGGGAAUCUUCCACAAUGGGCGCAAGUCUGAUGGAGCAACGCCGCGUGAGUGAAGAAGGGUUUCGGCUCGUAAAGCUCUGUUGUUAAAGAAGAACACGUAUGAGAGUAACUGUUCAUACGUUGACGGUAUUUAACCAGAAAGUCACGGCUAACUACGUGCCAG
This 164-nucleotide ribosomal RNA is filed under the name uncultured bacterium. RNAcentral's name for it is "partial 16S ribosomal RNA". It matches the Rfam family "Bacterial small subunit ribosomal RNA", at positions 355 to 511 of the family's 1533-position model. The record is from RNAcentral.